UAUUGACUGGUCUGCUGCUAAAACUUACCCUACAUCUAACUUUUCACAGUUGCCAUUUCAAUUCAAUUCAAGUUUAUUCUCUAUAAGGGUUACAAUGUGGGGUUUACAGGUUUUGGGUAUUGUGUGGUUUACAUGUUAUAAAAUACUAAUUACAGAGGGGGCCACUAGGACACCUAGCAUGGCUAGGCAUUUCGAGCAGACUUAGAUUAAUUCUUAACAUUAAAUCCUUAAAGAUUAUGGUAUUAAGGCUGAGUGACUACAUCAUAAUUUGUGAGUUUAGCAAUGUGAAUGCUUUUGUUUUGGCGCAAUACACAAUGUCUAUAUUGGAGUAUCAUAGGCAAACUUAUGACUAGUUAGGAUUUAUUAUUUUAAGAUUAAGAUAAGUAUUUCUGGGUUUAUAGUCAGUGGGUGGGUGAGCGAGUGUAAUUGUGAACCACCAGGUGGUUAUCAUGUAGUAAGUUGUCGGGGUGGAUCAGGGUUGGGUUGAGGAUGUUUUGUGACGUUAUAAAUGAAUAUAGUCUCCUGUGCACGAGUUUCUCGAAGAUUUUGGAUAGCAAUGGCAAGUUUGAUAUUGGUCUAUAGUUGUUUACGUGUAGGGUCACCACCUUUAUGUAUUGGUGUAACCCUUGCUGUUUUGAGUAGUGUCGGGAAAGUGCUAGUUUCUAGUGACUUGUUAAAAAGUAAUGUAAUAGCAUGCGAAAGGACAUGGGCCGCUCACUUGUACAAUAAUGGUAGGACGUGAGACAGAUUCCCCGAGUUAUUUUUAAGUGACUAUGAUCGCAGUGACUUCCGUGGGCUCAGUUGGUACAAGACAGAAGGAAUUUGGGAAAUUCCCAUCUAGGUAGUCCCCGGCACGGGCAUUGGUACGUGGGAUUUUACUGGCGAGAUUAGAUCCUAAGUUUGAGAAGUCGUUUAUCUUGUUAGCUGUAUCAGUGGGAUGCAGUGGUGUUUCAUGAGGUUUAGUUAGAACAAUAUUCUUGUUUUUUUUCAGUUUGUGGGUCCCCAGAAUCUGGGAAAGUGUUUUCCAGGUCUUUUUUAUAUCUCCUCUUGUGUCAGUGAAUCUGCUGGAGUAGUACAGUUGUUUGGCUUAUUUUAUUAAUUUGGUGUGAACUGUUGAAUAUUGUUUAAGAAUAUCUUUAUGUAUUAAGCCCUGUCUAUAUUGCUUUUCAUAUUGGUGUUUCUUAUCAAUGGAUUUCAGAAUGCUGCUGGUUAGCCAUGGGCAACCAAGCCGUUUAUUCGUGAUCUGUUUCGUUUUUAUAGGACAAUGUUUGUUGUAUAGUCUAAGUAUUUUGUUAAGAAAAAUGUCUGUCCAAUCGUCAAUACCAUUGGCAGUGGAGAAUUCUGUAGGCCAGUCAACAGUCUCUAGGUCUGUUGUGAAAUUCCUUAUUGAGGCCUCGUCAUGGAGUCUAAAUGAAACUUUGUUGUAUUCAAGUGGUGGCUUACUAAUGUUUGUUAAGAGGAAGGUUGGGUAGUGGUCAGUAGUGCUGUCUGUGAUUAUCCCUGAUUUAAGGGGGGCUAGUAUAUUGGUCCAUAUGUGGUCUAUUAUGGUUGCACUUGUCUCAGUCAGCCUUUUUGGUUUAGUUAUUGUUGGUAUGAGAAGUGUGUUGUUCAUAUUGUUGAUGAAAUCAGUUAGUCUGAUCAUCUGGUAGGCCAAGGUUGAUAUUGAAGUCUCCAGCUAAGAAAAGGUGGUGCUUGUUCAUUUGUCUGUUUGUUAUUAGUGACUUUAGAUUCUCACUGAAGUUUGGGGUGUUUGUGUGGGGUAUCCGGUAUAUGGCACCGAUUGUUAUAGGCGUCUUGGUUGAAUCCUCCCUUAUACACAACUUUCCUUGUAUGAAUCUUAGUCCUGGCUUUGUCUCUGUGGAUGCUAUCCUUUCCCAUUACAUUGUAAAAUGCUCCAAACUUCAGAACACCUGUGACUUAAUCUGAUUCUUUUUUCCCCUUCUCUCUCUUCCCAUUUCCUCUUUCCUCUUUUUCCUUUGGGUUUUCUUUCUUCUGCCUUGGGUAUUUGUUCUUUCAUUAUUUUUCAACCCCUCUGUGUUCUUGCUCCUGCCCUCUGUGGGACUCUAGCUCCCUUGCAGUGCUCCUCUUUCUUAGUAUUUGACUGGCCUAUAUAUACUCCCUCCUUCUCUCCUUUCUGUUAGUGUGACUUUGUAAAUGGUCCACGUUGGACCAAAACGUCGCCGUAAGCCCUCUCAUCUAUGUGCGGGUUAUUUGUGUAUUGUUCCAGUCACGGUAUUGUCUUAUUUUGUUAAUUACAUGAUGAGUUCUGCUCAGUCAGAUAGCAGUGAGGGGUAAAUUUAGGCCUAGAUAUGAGAGAAUGGAUUAAUGCGGUAAGUGUGCACCAUAUAAAAAAAUCCUGCCCCAGGAGUACAUAACGGGGAAAAAGAACUGCGACUGUGUUUUUGGUUGAAAAUAGUGACUUUGCGAUGUAUUUUUGGACGGUUUUUAUGGUUGUAUUCUUGGUUUCUUGGUAUCAUUUGAUACAGUGGAAAAUGUAUUACAGAAGUAGAGAUGAUUUUGAUUGGUUUCAAGACUGGAAGUAGUUGAAUUCAAAGUGGUGGAAAUAUUUGAUUUUUGCCGAUAUUCCAGAGUAAACAAAUCGUGUCACUCGUCCAAUAUGCGUCUAACCAGUCAGUCUAAUAUGCAUCCAUGAAUGCACUGACAUUAUUUAUACAAUUAUUACAAUAAUGCACAAGAGUAAGCCUAUUUUUUUGUGUGAAUAAAAAUUCAAAAUGGAAUUCCUGUAUAAAGUUUGGGAACAUAACUGUUGAACAGACGAAUGUUGUUUUAGUGCCAGGAAUGCCUGCAUUUUUUAUUCUAGAUCCUACUUUGAAAUUUGUGUAAAAUUGGUCAAAUUACCAAUUUCUGAUUACUUUAUUAGGUAGUUGAAAUAGUUGAUUGGGCAGUUUCUUGUACCCAGUCGAUAAAAUGGAAGCCAUACUAGCAAAAUAGCUAAGAAUUUGGUUGACUGGAACAAUGUAAUUGGCCUAAAGUAGGACUCAGAGUGAAUAAAAUCGCCCAUGUGUAAAUGUCACUGGCACAGGAAAUUUGUGAAAGUGUAAUUUUGUAAGUUUUCCAUCAAAGUUUGCAUUUUUUGUUUUAUUACCUUCAGAAGAAGAUUCUCUACCAUUUCAUAAGAAAAUUUUUUUUUUUAAUUCUUGGACACUAUGGACACUUUUCAGAUCGAGAGUUUGGACACUUUAAGGGUUAAAAUUUCAGUAUUGUCAUUAGAAAUUGCAAAAGGGUUGCAUGAACAGCAUUGUAUGUAUAUGCUUAAAGACUGAUUUUUCUUUGGCUAAAAAAAUCAGAGAGGCAAGAAGAGUAAAGAAUUUCCCUUUUUCAAGUUAUCAUUUGAUGGCCACAAUGUUUUUACUGGAAUACUGCAUUUGAUUUGCAAGUGCUGAUAAUCCAUUAAACAAAAUGAGAUGCGUGUUAUAGAGGCUAACUUUUACAAAUGCCACAGGUUCUAGAGGUGGCCAAGAAGUUUCUGGCAUUGCUGGAUAAAGUUGCUUACGAGACUGAUGAUGACUUACUCGUUGGUCGGAUAUUUCUUCUGUGUGCUGAUGAACUCUGUGAUGUUUACAAGGUGUAUUGCUCAAACCAUAAUGUUGCUGUUGAACCCUUGCUAAAGCAGUAUAUAGAAGAAGCCGAGCCAGCAGCAUUCCUUCAGUGGGUUCUGGGUGAACUGCAGCAGCAUAAAAUUCAGUUAAUGGAUAUGAGAUCUGUCCUCAUCAAACCUGUGCAGAGAGUCCUCAAGUAAGUGCUUGUCCUAUUUAACUUGAAUGCUCUACCUAAUUAUGCAUGAAAUAAUUAAAUACAGUAUAGUAGACUUUUACAUUUUGUGAGGGUUAAGUUCCUCAGCAACUUAUUUUUCUUGAAGUUUAUGGUACAAUUUUGUGAUCAUUCCUGCAAAAUUUGAACCUGGUUGAAACAUAAUUUGUGGGCCUGCAAAAUGUGAAUCUACUGUAUAUUAGAUGUUAGGUUAAGGUAUUAUUAUGACACUUUUACCCCAUGAAUAAAUAUUUGUGUCAAGUUAAGGGUUAAUAAAUCAGAAAUAGUAAGAUGGUCCUGACUCGCUUCAUAAGAUAUUGAUGUAUUAUGCUCUGCCGUAUUAACCCUUUGACUGUUUUGGUCGUAUAUAUAUACGUCUUAUGAGCCAGUGUGUGUGGCAAUGUGUGGUGUAAAUAUUAUGCAGAAAAUUCGGAGUGUGGAAAUUAGGAGAAGGUGUGGAGUUAAUAAAAGUAUUAGUCAGAGGGCUGAAGAGGGGUUGUUGAGGUGGUUUAGUCAUUUAGAGAGAAUGAAUUAAAGUAGAAUGACAUGGAGAGCAUAUAAAUCUGUAGGGGAAGGAAGGCAGGGUAGGGGUCAUCCUCGGUAAGGUUGGAAGGAAGGGGUAAGGGGGGUUUUGUUGGCUAGGGGCUUGGACUUCCAGCAGGCGUACAUGAACGUGAAUGGAGACAAAUGGUAUUUGGGACCUGACGAGCUGUUGGAGUGUGAGUAGGGUAAUAUUUAGUGAAGGGAUUCAGGGAAACUGAUUAUUUUUAUAUAGCUGGACUUGAGUCCUGAAAAUGGGAAGUACAAUGCCUGCACUCUAAAGGAGGGGUUCGGGAUAGUGGCGGUUUGGAGGGAUAUGUUGUGUAUCUUUAUACGUACAGUAUAUGCUUCUAAACUGUUGUAUUCUGGGCACCUCUGCAAAAACAUUGAUUAUGCGUGAGUGAGGUAAAAGUGUUGAAUGACGAUGAAAGUAUUUUCUUUUUGGGAUUUUCUUUCUUUUUGGGUCACCCUGCCUCGGUGGGAGACGGCCGCCUUGUUAAAAAAAAAAAAAAAUUCUAGCGCCUUCAAAUCAAGCAGGAGAAAGCUGGUAGG
Cherax quadricarinatus is the source of this 4863-nucleotide non-coding RNA. NCBI's taxonomy places the organism in Eukaryota, Metazoa, Arthropoda, Malacostraca, Decapoda, Parastacidae. The record is from RefSeq and is a predicted model, not a curated record.